This 281-nucleotide ribosomal RNA is filed under the name uncultured bacterium. RNAcentral describes it as "partial 16S ribosomal RNA". It matches the Rfam family "Bacterial small subunit ribosomal RNA", at positions 779 to 1058 of the family's 1533-position model. The record is from RNAcentral.
UAGAUACCCGGGUAGUCCAUGCCGUAAACGAUGUGUGUUAGACGUUGGAGAUUUAUUUUCAGUGUCGCAGCGAAAGCGAUAAACACACCGCCUGGGGAGUACGACCGCAAGGUUAAAACUCAAAUGAAUUGACGGGGACCCGCACAAGUAGUGGAGCAUGUGGUUUAAUUCGAAGAUACGCGCAGAACCUUACCAACACUUGACAUGUUCGUCGCGACUCUAAGAGAUUAGAGUUUUCGGUUCGGCCGGACGAAACACAGGUGCUGCAUGGCCGUCGUCAG